Molecule: non-coding RNA, 1856 nt
Filed under: Streptomyces ipomoeae 91-03
Lineage: Bacteria; Bacillati; Actinomycetota; Actinomycetes; Kitasatosporales; Streptomycetaceae
Description: Bacterial large subunit ribosomal RNA
Rfam family: Bacterial large subunit ribosomal RNA
Source: Rfam by way of RNAcentral
AGACCCCCGUAGCUGAAAUCUGUACGGCUCGUUGGAGAGACACCCAAGUAGCACGGGGCCCGAGAAAUCCCGUGUGAAUCUGGCGGGACCACCCGCUAAGCCUAAAUAUUCCCUGGUGACCGAUAGCGGAUAGUACCGUGAGGGAAUGGUGAAAAGUACCCCGGGAGGGGAGUGAAAUAGUACCUGAAACCGUGUGCCUACAAGCCGUGGGAGCGUCGGAUGGAAGCUUGCUUCCAUCUCGUGACUGCGUGCCUUUUGAAGAAUGAGCCUGCGAGUUUGCGGUGUGUUGCGAGGUUAACCCGGGUGGGGUAGCCGUAGCGAAAGCGAGUCCGAACAGGGCGGUGUAGUAGCGCGCUCAAGACCCGAAGCGGAGUGAUCUAGCCAUGGGCAGGUUGAAGCGGAGGUAAGACUUCGUGGAGGACCGAACCCACCAGGGUUGAAAACCUGGGGGAUGACCUGUGGUUAGGGGUGAAAGGCCAAUCAAACUCCGUGAUAGCUGGUUCUCCCCGAAAUGCAUUUAGGUGCAGCGUCGUGUGUUUCUUGCCGGAGGUAGAGCACUGGAUAGGCGAUGGGCCCUACCGGGUUACUGACCUUAGCCAAACUCCGAAUGCCGGUAAGUGAGAGCGCGGCAGUGAGACUGUGGGGGAUAAGCUCCAUGGUCGAGAGGGAAACAGCCCAGAGCAUCGACUAAGGCCCCUAAGCGUACGCUAAGUGGGAAAGGAUGUGGAGUCGCAGAGACAACCAGGAGGUUGGCUUAGAAGCAGCCACCCUUGAAAGAGUGCGUAAUAGCUCACUGGUCUAGUGAUUCCGCGCCGACAAUGUAGCGGGGCUCAAGCGUACCGCCGAAGUCGUGUCAUUCCAGUGUGAGGGCCAACGCCUGCUGGGAUGGGUAGGGGAGCGUCGUCUGCCGGGUGAAGCAGCACCGGAAGGUAGUUGUGGACGGUUGACGAGUGAGAAUGCAGGCAUGAGUAGCGAUACAAACGUGAGAAACGUUUGCGCCGAUUGACCAAGGGUUCCUGGGUCAAGCUGAUCUGCCCAGGGUAAGUCGGGACCUAAGGCGAGGCCGACAGGCGUAGUCGAUGGAUAACCGGUUGAUAUUCCGGUACCCGCUGUGAAGCGUCAAACAUCGAGCAUCGUGAUGCUAAGGCCGUGAAGCCGCCCUGAUCUCUUCGGAGUUGAGGGGAGUGGUGGAGCCGCCGGUCCAAGCGGUUAGUAGGUGAGUGAUGGGGUGACGCAGGAAGGUAGUCCAUCCCGGGCGGUGGUUGUCCCGGGGUAAGGGUGUAGGCCGUGCGAUAGGUAAAUCCGUCGUGCGUGUGGCUGAGACCUGAUGCCGAGCCGAUUGUGGUGAAGUGGAUGAUCCUAUGCUGUCGAGAAAAGCCUCUAGCGAGUUUCAUGGCGGCCCGUACCCUAAACCGACUCAGGUGGUCUGGUAGAGAAUACCGAGGCGUUCGGGUGAACUAUGGUUAAGGAACUCGGCAAAAUGCCCCCGUAACUUCGGGAGAAGGGGGGCCACACCCGGUGAUGGGUUUUACAUCCUGAGCUGGGGGUGGCCGCAGAGACCAGCGAGAAGCGACUGUUUACUAAAAACACAGGUCCGUGCGAAGCCGUAAGGCGAUGUAUACGGACUGACGCCUGCCCGGUGCUGGAACGUUAAGGGGACCGGUUAGUCAUUCUUCGGGGUGGCGAAGCUGAGAACUUAAGCGCCAGUAAACGGCGGUGGUAACUAUAACCAUCCUAAGGUAGCGAAAUUCCUUGUCGGGUAAGUUCCGACCUGCACGAAUGGCGUAACGACUUCUCGACUGUCUCAACCAUAGGCCCGGUGAAAUUGCACUACGAGUAAAGAUGCUCGUUUCGCG